Molecule: long non-coding RNA, 379 nt
Filed under: Vitis vinifera (wine grape)
Lineage: Eukaryota; Viridiplantae; Streptophyta; Magnoliopsida; Vitales; Vitaceae
Description: long non-coding RNA (VVIN_LNC007578)
Source: RNAcentral
GAUGCAGAUAUCUCUCCUGAGGAUCCACAGGUGGGACAGGGAGGACUUCAGGAUGCUCCUGGAGCGGCCUAGUGGAGCGUGGCAUUUAUUUGUUAUUGUGUUCCCUUUUGGAUUUUGGGGAUUUGUUUUAGCAAUUAUGACUCAUGGAUUAGCUAUGAAGCUUUAUUUGAUUAAGUUGUUAAUUGUGAACUUUUAUUUUGGACUAUAAUGAAUAUUUAUUUAAUCUUGUUGUUUUGAGUAGUUUUGGGAUAUUGUAAUUUAUGAGAAUUCUAGUGAGAUGUAUAAAAAAAAAAAAAAAAAAAUCCAGAGUGUUUUGGUUGACUGCCAACAUGGAAUAGGAGGAACCCUUAGGGUCAAACCUUUGACCUGGGGUCACGGG